RNAcentral lists this ribosomal RNA (518 nucleotides) under uncultured bacterium. RNAcentral's name for it is "bacterial SSU rRNA". It matches the Rfam family "Bacterial small subunit ribosomal RNA", at positions 9 to 522 of the family's 1533-position model. The record is from RNAcentral.
GAGUUUGAUCUUGGCUCAGAUUGAACGCUGGCGGCAGGCCUAACACAUGCAAGUCGGGCGGUAGGGAGAAGCUUGCUUCUCUUGAGAGCGGCGGACGGGUGAGUAAUGCCUAGGAAUCUGCCUGGUAGUGGGGGAUAACGCUCGGAAACGGACGCUAAUACCGCAUACGUCCUACGGGAGAAAGCAGGGGACCUUCGGGCCUUGCGCUAUCAGAUGAGCCUAGGUCGGAUUAGCUAGUUGGUGAGGUAAUGGCUCACCAAGGCGACGAUCCGUAACUGGUCUGAGAGGAUGAUCAGUCACACUGGAACUGAGACACGGUCCAGACUCCUACGGGAGGCAGCAGUGGGAAUAUUGGACAAUGGGCGAAAGCCUGAUCCAGCCAUGCCGCGUGUGUGAAGAAGGUCUUCGGAUUGUAAAGCACUUUAAGUUGGGUAGGAAGGGCAGUAAAUUAAUACUUUGCUGUUUUGACGUUACCGACAGAAUAAGCACCGGCUAACUCUGUGCCAGCCGCCGCAACG